Molecule: long non-coding RNA, 214 nt
Filed under: Elaeis guineensis (African oil palm)
Lineage: Eukaryota; Viridiplantae; Streptophyta; Magnoliopsida; Arecales; Arecaceae
Description: long non-coding RNA (EGUI_LNC025470)
Source: RNAcentral
CUUUAAUGCUAUCAGCUUCAUAGUUCAUGGUGCAAUCUCUAUUCCCAGAAGUUGCAGUGUUGUACAUAUUUCAUACCGUAUGAGUUAGCUUUGGAAGGAGAAUCAUACUGAGGAAUUUCCCCCAGUAUUUUCAGGAUGUUUCAUCUGACUACACAAUCUUCAGCAAUGACACAAUCUUCACCUUAUGUUCCGGCAAUUAUUUCUAUUUCACUUC